Molecule: ribosomal RNA, 1310 nt
Filed under: Salmonella enterica subsp. enterica
Lineage: Bacteria; Pseudomonadati; Pseudomonadota; Gammaproteobacteria; Enterobacterales; Enterobacteriaceae
Description: partial 23S ribosomal RNA
Rfam family: Bacterial large subunit ribosomal RNA
Source: RNAcentral
UCAGCAUGUGUGUUAGUGGAAGCGUCUGGAAAGGCGCGCGAUACAGGGUGACAGCCCCGUACACAAAAGCGCAUGUGCUGUGAGCUCGAUGAGUAGGGCGGGACACGUGGUAUCCUGUCUGAAUAUGGGGGGACCAUCCUCCAAGGCUAAAUACUCCUGACUGACCGAUAGUGAACCAGUACCGUGAGGGAAAGGCGAAAAGAACCCCGGCGAGGGGAGUGAAAAAGAACCUGAAACCGUGUACGUACAAGCAGUGGGAGCACAGGUUUACCUGUGUGACUGCGUACCUUUUGUAUAAUGGGUCAGCGACUUAUAUUCUGUAGCAAGGUUAACCGAAUAGGGGAGCCGGAGGGAAACCGAGUCUUAAUUGGGCGUUAAGUUGCAGGGUAUAGACCCGAAACCCGGUGAUCUAGCCAUGGGCAGGUUGAAGGUUGGGUAACACUAACUGGAGGACCGAACCGACUAAUGUUGAAAAAUUAGCGGAUGACCUGUGGCUGGGGGUGAAAGGCCAAUCAAACCGGGAGAUAGCUGGUUCUCCCCGAAAGCUAUUUAGGUAGCGCCUCGUGAAUUCAUCUCCGGGGGUAGAGCACUGUUUCGGCUAGGGGGCCAUCCCGGCUUACCAACCCGAUGCAAACUGCGAAUACCGGAGAAUGUUAUCACGGGAGACACACGGCGGGUGCUAACGUCCGUCGUGAAGAGGGAAACAACCCAGACCGCCAGCUAAGGUCCCAAAGUCAUGGUUAAGUGGGAAACGAUGUGGGAAGGCCCAGACAGCCAGGAUGUUGGCUUAGAAGCAGCCAUCAUUUAAAGAAAGCGUAAUAGCUCACUGGUCGAGUCGGCCUGCGCGGAAGAUGUAACGGGGCUAAACCAUGCACCGAAGCUGCGGCAGCGAACGUAUCACCCAAGACAACUUUACGGAGUUGACGAUUGACGGAGCGAAGCGACGUCAAAGCGUUCAUUAAAGUCGAGUUGGCUUAGGGAUACGUUCGUUGGGUAGGGGAGCGUUCUGUAAGCCUGUGAAGGUGUGUCGUGAGGCAUGCUGGAGGUAUCAGAAGUGCGAAUGCUGACAUAAGUAACGAUAAAGCGGGUGAAAAGCCCGCUCGCCGGAAGACCAAGGGUUCCUGUCCAACGUUAAUCGGGGCAGGGUGAGUCGACCCCUAAGGCGAGGCCGAAAGGCGUAGUCGAUGGGAAACGGGUUAAUAUUCCCGUACUUGGUGUUACUGCGAAGGGGGGACGGAGAAGGCUAUGUUGGCCGGGCGACGGUUGUCCCGGUUUAAGCGUGUAGGUGUGUGUUCCAGGUAAAUCCGGUU